RNAcentral lists this ribosomal RNA (466 nucleotides) under uncultured bacterium. RNAcentral's name for it is "partial 16S ribosomal RNA". It matches the Rfam family "Bacterial small subunit ribosomal RNA", at positions 29 to 518 of the family's 1533-position model. The record is from RNAcentral.
AGCGAACGCUGGCGGCAGGCCUAACACAUGCAAGUCGAGCGCCCAGCAAUGGGAGCGGCAGACGGGAGAGUAACACGUGGGAACGUGCCCUUUGGUUCGGAAUAACUCAGGGAAACUUGAGCUAAUACCGGAUAAGCCCUUACGGGGAAAGAUUUAUCGCCAAAGGAGCGGCCCGCGUCCGAUUAGCUAGUUGGUGAGGUAAUGGCUCACCAAGGCGACGAUCGGUAGCUGGUCNGAGAGGAUGACCAGCCUCACUGGGACUGAGACACGGCCCAGACUCCUACGGGAGGCAGCAGUGGGGAAUAUUGGACAAUGGGCGCAAGCCUGAUCCAGCCAUGCCGCGUGGAUGAUGAAGCCUUAGGGUUGUAACCUCUGUCACCGGGGAAGAAACGCUUACAAGUUAAUAGUUUGAAGCCUGACUUAACCCCGGAGAGGAAGCAGUGGCUAACUCUGUGCCAGCCGCCGC